RNAcentral lists this ribosomal RNA (253 nucleotides) under uncultured bacterium. RNAcentral describes it as "partial 16S ribosomal RNA". It matches the Rfam family "Bacterial small subunit ribosomal RNA", at positions 524 to 776 of the family's 1533-position model. The record is from RNAcentral.
UACGAAGGGGGCUAGCGUUGCUCGGAAUCACUGGGCGUAAAGCGCACGUAGGCGGCUUUCUAAGUCAGGGGUGAAAUCCUGGAGCUCAACUCCAGAACUGCCUUUGAUACUGGAGAGCUUGAGUCCGGAAGAGGUGAGUGGAACUCCGAGUGUAGAGGUGAAAUUCGUAGAUAUUCGGAAGAACACCAGUGGCGAAGGCGGCUCACUGGUCCGGUACUGACGCUGAGGUGCGAAAGCGUGGGGAGCAAACGGG